UCGUAGGGUGUAGUAAUUCAGAGGCACACUGUGUGUGAAAGCUGCUACACACAUAGAGACUCCUGGAAGAGCAACAUGCUCAGGUUACUUCAUCACUGCUUAAUAGCUGUGUGCUUGGUGAGGUUCUUGAUGCGCCUGCCACUCUGCUGUGCUCAAUAUGAAUAUGAUACUACUUUACCACCAGAUUAUGACUACAAUGCCACAUUUGAAUACAAUUUCUUCAGCAACAGCAGCAAUGAAGAUCUAGAGAUUUUCAUUAGAGAAAAGGAAUCUGAAGAUGAAACUACUGCGUUCAAUACACCAAACAAGGGCUUUAGAACAGAAUAUCCAAGCUUCCUGCUCAUACUGAUCCUCACUGCUCAUCCCCUGCUCAGAGUCCUAUAGGACACACAGGGCACCAUCACACAGAAGUACAUGAGGUCCCAAAGGAAAUACAGAAAUGGACAAACAUCCAAAUUGCAAGACUAAGCAGAUUGACACAGAGGAAGAGAGGCACACAGACAUACUCAAACAAGCAUACUCUCAUGUUAUAGAAGCAGCUAUAACCUGUUCUAGUCUUGCACUGCAGUAAUGAUGCAAACUGGAGACACUGCAAGACACCAUCUCAUCUAUUAAGCAAAAACAGAGACACAAAGAAAGUGUAAGACACACAACUGUACGGACUACUGGAAACACAAAUGUAGCUUAUGUUUAGUUACACAAAAUAUGCCUUAUAAUAAGCGGGACAGAAAAUUUGGCUAAACAGGCAUAGACAAAUUAAGACAAUAGAUUUAUGAAUGUAAGACAAUGCUGCAAAGAAUGAAACUAGCAUCAGUGCUGCAGUGUGUUUUGCUCUCUGUGGGUCCACAUGCAUUGUCUACACAUUUUGCAUCAUUUUACAUCAGUUCAUUAUGCACACUGCAACAAGUCCAGUCUGUUUCUCUCAGGCCACCUCAUACCUGAAAAAUAUUAACAACGGAAAUUAAAAAAUGAUAUUUGAUACUAACUUAAUACCAUUUAGGUCAAUCAAAAAUACAUUACUUUUUACUACUCUUUUAUACUUAUUCAUUAUACAGUAAACUGAUUUUUGUAUUACUUUAGCAACAUAGACACUGUGAAUGUCAGAGCAAAAAGUAAAAAUCUUGAUAAGUCUUAAACAAUGCAUACAUUAGCGUACACACAGGCACUUUCCUAAGCAAAUGCACUUCUUUUCCUUAGCACCAUUUUCUUAGUGCUCCUAAGUAGAUCUACCCAUAUGAAAAUAUCAUAUGCAUUUCACACAUGAUCAUGUAUCACUUUUUCCCAUGUGAGUAAGAUGUAAUCCUAUGUGAAAAACAUGUACAUUUGCAUUAAGAUAAAUAUAAAAAUGCAUAGGUGGAAUUUAAUAAAGAAAAAAAAAACGAUGAAUUUACUAUCAUAUAACAUUCCAUGAUAAUUAAAAACAAAACAAAUAAACAGCCACAACAACACAAAUCACAUGUAUAUAAUGUAAUUAUUUACAGGUGAAGUUUAUGUGACGUUGUUUUGGGUAAAUGCUUUAAGUAUGCUUUGAAGACAAACAAUUGCAUGUUUUAUUGACCUGUCACAAUUUCAAUUUUUUAGUUUUAAUGACCUAAUGUCACUGUUCUUAAUAAAUUAUUUUUUUUUUUACUUAAAUCUAUAAAGAGAUGUUUGUUUAACAUGGUCUAUCACAUGGCUAAAUCUUAACAAAUUGUACCAAACAUGCUUAGAAGUAAUAACAUUUUUAGAAAUGCUUUAUGAUGA
Molecule: long non-coding RNA, 1743 nt
Organism: Silurus meridionalis
Lineage: Eukaryota; Metazoa; Chordata; Actinopteri; Siluriformes; Siluridae
Exons: 5
Source: RefSeq, a predicted model, not a curated record